AUACAUGCAGUCGAGCGGACAGAUGGGAGCUUGCUCCCUGAUGUUAGCGGCGGACGGGUGAGUAACACGUGGGUAACCUGCCUGUAAGACUGGGAUAACUCCGGGAAACCGGGGCUAAUACCGGAUGCUUGUUUGAACCGCAUGGUUCAGACAUAAAAGGUGGCUUCGGCUACCACUUACAGAUGGACCCGCGGCGCAUUAGCUAGUUGGUGAGGUAACGGCUCACCAAGGCGACGAUGCGUAGCCGACCUGAGAGGGUGAUCGGCCACACUGGGACUGAGACACGGCCCAGACUCCUACGGGAGGCAGCAGUAGGGAAUCUUCCGCAAUGGACGAAAGUCUGACGGAGCAACGCCGCGUGAGUGAUGAAGGUUUUCGGAUCGUAAAUCUCUGUUGUUAGGGAAGAACAAGUGCCGUUCAAAUAGGGCGGCACCUUGACGGUACCUAACCAGAAAGCCACGGCUAACUACGUGCCAGCAGCCGCGGUAAUACGUAGGUGGCAAGCGUUGUCCAGAAUUAUUGGGCGUAGAGGGCUCGGAGGCGGCUUCUUAAUUCUGAUGUGAAACCCCCCGGCUCCACCGGGGAGGGUCAUUGGAAACUGGGGAACUUGAGUGCAGAAGAGGAGAG
RNAcentral lists this ribosomal RNA (627 nucleotides) under Bacillus amyloliquefaciens. RNAcentral describes it as "bacterial SSU rRNA". It matches the Rfam family "Bacterial small subunit ribosomal RNA", at positions 51 to 661 of the family's 1533-position model. The record is from RNAcentral. Lineage: Bacteria; Bacillati; Bacillota; Bacilli; Caryophanales; Bacillaceae.